UGUCGGGAAGGUUCUGGAGUUUCAUACUCACUUGCUGGUGGCCCGAGGGCUCGGCAGAGCCGUGCAUUCAGGGUCAUCAGCGCCUGCUUCCCGGAGGACAGACAGAGAUUUGCAAGAUUCCAGGAAUUAGUUCUCCCCCUGGGGACCCGGUGGGCCCUCCAAGCCCAGAGAUUCUGCAGCGUCUGCGGCUACAACUCACUGCCCGGACUGUUAUUUUGCUUUGCAGGUAGGAAAGGCAAGAUUAAAAUACAAAGUGAUGCCUCCGGCUGUCUCUGGGUCGCCAGAGUUUGAGAGAAUAUUUCGUGCACAACAAAACUCUUUAGAGUUUUACCCAGUAUUCAUUAUUACAUUGUGGGUGGCUGGAUGGUAUUUCAACCAAGUUUUUGCCACUUGUCUGGGUCUGGUGUACAUCUAUGCCCGUCACCGGUAUUUUUGGGGAUAUUCAGAAGCUCCUAAAAAAAGGAUCACUGGUUUCCGGUUAAGUCUGGGGGUUUUGGCCUUGUUGGCCGUCCUAGGUGCUGUGGGGAUUACAAACAGCUUUCUGGAUGAAUAUCUGGACCUCAAUAUUGCCAAGAAACUGAGGCACUUCUAAAGUGGCCCUCUCCUUUCGCUCAAAUGCCUGCAGAAGAUGUUUCUACUCUGAAGACAUUACAUGUACAUCAGCACCUUAGUAAGAACAAAAACAAAACAAAACCACCUUAUUAAAAUCUACCUCUAUUUACUUGGUCCCAGUACUGAGCAUUUGGAGGAAGCUUCUAAAAGAUAAUGGAGCCCCCCUUCCCCCUCCCUCACCGCCUCCAGUUUUCCAUCGUUGCUUAGAGAUUUAUUUCUUGGACCUUUCAGAAAAAGGUAAUUAUAUAUUCUGUCUUCUCGUUGGUUUACUUCUGUUUUUGGUUAUCAUCCCUGGCCACUCAAGACAUUCCCUGGUGGGUCCCUCCCCACACAGGGAGUUCUCGGUCACCCUGCCACCACCUCUUCCCAGAGGGAACACAGCCCCGCCCGGUCCCUUGCUCUGAGUAGCCCUGUGACCUUGGCAUUGGGUGAGCAAGUCAAGGGCAGGGUUUGCCGGGCUGCCCCUGCCUCUACCUCCUCUGCCCCAGCUCUUCCUUCGAACCCCGCUCCCAGGACCUGCUCCCGGAGCUGCGCUGGGGCUCUGCAGCGCUGAGUUACACGUGAGUGUGCAGAGGGGAGCCUGCCUUUGGACACAGAGGGGAGGGGUGGCAGGAGAAAAACACUCGCUUCUCUCACUCAGGACAAUGGCUGUGCCACGUGGCCUGCAAACCUGGACAGCAGGAGGGGAGGCAAGGAGGGCUGAGACAAGCCUCACGGCAGUUGCCAGUCGGGGUGGGUGACCCCUCCCGACAGACUUCAGUGAGGUGCCAAGGUGAGCGAAUUACAAAGAGAACAACUCUACAGAACUUCACGAAAGGAUCAUUCUGCCACUGGGAAGGAACCAUCCCUUCCUCCUUCUUAUCAUCAAAAAGUGUGAAGCAGAGCAAUUGAAUUUUCAAUUCCUCAUCUUUCAGGGUUUGAGCUUUGUCUUUCUAGUGAGCAGGGAUGAAGGGCCAGGCCGAUUUUAGGGCCUCACUCCUGGGAGGUUUCCCAAGGGAGCCACAGCCGGCGCCAUCCAGACCAGUCCCUCCCUGGUUUCCCAGAGGCAUCACGUGCUCAUGUAAACCCACUGCUCAGGAGCAGGGCGGUCACUCAGUGCCAGGCAGAGAACUCCAGUGUCGCUUCCUGCAUAUCAGGCUUGUCUAGGUGCUUCUUGCUUUUAUUUUGCCUCUGCCCAGGCUCCCUGAAGACAAAAGCUUCAUUUCUUCUUGGAUAGUCUGCAAGGAGAAGCAGGGGCAGGCUGCGGUGGGGCAACAGGGGAGAGGCGGGGGUGCUGGCAGACACAGUGUCCAGCUGGGGCCUCCCCAGCCUGUGGCCUCCCAGCCUGUGGCCUCCAGGAGUCGAUGAGAACUGCUGAGAUGUAUCUGGUUGUACCAGGCCCCCAGGAGGCUCCAGCCCAGCUCCCUGCAGCGACGGCCACCAUGGUCACCAGCAGAGGGCUGCCUGCCCAGGACUGCAGGACCUUUCUCCAAGCUCCCUUGGUGAUCCUUGUGAGGCAACGUCUCCAACAUUCCUGAGAGUCAUCAUGGGGGGGAGACAGGCCUGUGGAGCCUGUGUCUUCUGGCGACACCUCUCUGGUCUUCUCGCCUGCCCUCCAAAUCCAGUGGCAUGUCUUGAAGGCCAGCCUUUUCUUGCAGUCAGAGUUCAGUGCGUGCAGCCGCCUCAGGGGGGCCUCUCCUCCACCCCCGGCUCGCUCGCCUCUGUGUCUCCAGCGCUGUGACCCCUGGACCAGGGCCAGGAGGGGCUGUCAGCCACCGCACGUCAGGCAGCAGUCUGUCUUGGCUGGAGCGGCUCUGCUAGGCUAGGCGAUCGCAGGCAGGGCCAAGCAGAGGGGCCGUGGACUCAUCUCUCCACUUGCCUCCUGUGCGGCUCCCUCUCUUGCAGCGGGAUUGGCAAGGUGUCUGUCUUGAUUGCUGGGUGGAACAAAGCCCAGCAGGGCUGGGGAUUGGUACCUGGACCUUCCACUGUCAGCCGGCUGCAGUUCUGCUCAGUUUACAUGGGUCAAAAAAACAAACAAAAAAAACAAGGAUGAGUCCACAUCCUGUUUCUUUUUCAAGGUGGAAGCUUUAACCACUAGGGUUUUGGCUCUCAGGGUCCCUCUUGACUAGGGGUUUCCAAACAGUUCAUCGAGCUCCUGCAUCCACUCAUCCCCUGGCCCGCCUUUGAUGAUGGAGUCCAUGAGAUCGGCACUGUCCGAGAGGCCUGGGAAGGAAGGCCCAGGGGCAUCGCUGCUGUAAUUGUAUGACAUGUCCUGAGGGGGGUUUCGCUCGUAGGCUUGGCUCUGGCUGCUCGGAGCAAAGCUGCCCCCGGGCAUGGGCUGCUGUGCCGGGGGCUGGCUGAAUGCUGGCAUGCCAGCGACGCCCUGGCUUAGGCCAGACAUGACCAUCGGCCUGGCCUGGCCCGUGCCUUGCUGCCCCGGGAGCGGUGGCAUCAGCUGCCGGCCCAUGGCAGCUGGGUUGAGAGUCCUCACGGUGCCAGUGUUAGCAUCCACCACCUGGCUCAGUCCCUGGGGGAAGUGCUGCUUGGUCAGCCUCGGCUGGCCAGCUUGUAACGGGUAGCUGGUGCCGUUGUUGAAGGAUGUUAAUUCUCCACUAGUCCUCCCGGGCAUUGCCUGUAAGCUCCUCUGUUGCCAGCUCUGUGUCCCCUGCUGGACUGUUCCCAUAAUACUCUGCAGCCUUGGUGGGGCCUGGGGCCUGGGCAAGGUCUGGCCUACAGGCCCCUUCAUCUGCUGGUGCUGUGGGGUAAUGGCAGAGUUCACCAGCAUGCUCUGACCAAAACCACUCACCAUCCCGACCCCUGGCCCUGAGGUGGGCUGCCUCGGCCCCUGGGCUUGGUUGUGGGUGAUACUCAUGCCACUUUGGUUUGGGUGCUGCAACAUCUGGGUCAUUCCUGUGCUCAUAUUGUACAUUCCGGGUUGGCUGGUAGGUGUGGUGCUGUAAGGGGCCAGUCCCAUCUCCGACUGGGCUGCUGCUGUGGCCAUUGUCCCUGGGUUCUGGGAGGGUCCCAUUCCCAUCAUGCCUGCAUUCUGUGCCAUCAACCGUGACGUUCGCAUGCUCUGGAGGGCUGCCUGGCUUCUCACGGCUGCUAUAUCCUGGGGAGACCCUGCAGGGAAAAAGGACACACCAGUUCACUCAUUUCCAUAAGCAAUGUGACAAGCUGGACUUUUCUUUACAAAUGACAAAUUCCUUUUGUACGAAAGGAUCUACUUUGAUAAUCUUUUAAAAGACUGAUCGGUAUUUUGCUGACUAUAACAUGCUGAUUGUGAAAAAUUUGGAAAAGAGAAGCACAAAGAUGAAAAUUAAAGUCACCUGAAUUCCCACCAUCCAGAAGUGACCACUAUAAACUUACUUAAUAUAUGAAUAGACACAUGAAAAUUAGGAUGAUACACCACACACGCCUUUGUAGUUGACUUUUUCUAUUUGAUAUAGCCUGAUAUUUUUGUUUGCAUUUCAGAAGCAAAUUGAGUGUUCUUGAUAUGAUGCCUUCCUCAACUAGUAAGAUGUCUUUUUUUUUUUUUUUGGAGGCAAGAGGAAAUUCACCUCUUGGGCUAAAUUAGGAAGAAACAGCUGAUCACUUUGCAUGUACCAUUUGUGAAGUGGAACAUGGUUCAGUAGAGAAUACUCUCAAUAAAGACCAUUAGACUAAUUUCCCUUAAGACUUGAGCAGGAUUUGAGAGGUGAAAGGCCACUGCUUCUGCAAGAAGUUAUUUUGACAGAUGGGACAAUUUGUGGAUCCACUCUGUAGCUUUCCCACAUGUUCCAGAUUCUCUGAAUCAUAACAUGUCAGUGUGAACUGGCCACCUUCCUGAGCUAGAAAAAGAGAUCAUCCUGCUACUUGCUACUUGGCAGUGGAUUUUAUGCAUUUCUCCAGCAAAGUCCACUCCUUCAAAUCAGCAAGGACCACUAAAGCAAUUUUAAUGAUGUUGCUUAAAAGUUGGCCAGAGUAUCAAUGCCAAGUCACUCAACUCUAAUUAGACCUUUGAAUGAAUCCUUCUUUACAUGUUUCCAGGAAAUCUCUAAACCAGCAAAGAGAAUAGAAAUGUCACCCUCAGAAGCCCAACAUUGUCAAGGGCUAGGAGGUGCACAAAAAUGGAUUUUUUGGUGUGUCUACUAAUGAUUAAGUCUAUGAAAGAAAAAGUUUUUUUUUUUUGGUUUGUUUUUGGGCUGGACAUUUUUAAAAGGUGCAGCAUGGGAGCCAAUCAAUAUUACAAGCAAAUUUGAUCCUACCUAGAACUGGGAUGAGAAACCAAAUGAGAAUAGUACAACCUUGUUAAGCCUGGCACCUUGGCAGAUAACUGAAGUGUGUUUUUGUCUUCCUGAUGGGGAUAUUGAUUUCUGAGCAGCAAAUACGGCUCCAUAGUUUCUUUCUUAAGAAAGAAAAUUAUGGGUAUCUUGAUUAUGAUUUAAGUUUUUGUGGCUUGAGAUCAAUAUCACCUCGCAUUGAAAAAAUGAAAUGCUUAUUGUGGGGAAACCAGAAAGAUCUGAAAGAGAUCCCUAGAAAUGUUCAAUUUUUUUGGUUUUGAGUUUAAUUAUAUCUCAGUGGAUAUUAAAAAAAAAUCAAAAGUUCCUGAUUAAACACUGGACAG
Sus scrofa (pig) is the source of this 5197-nucleotide RNA transcript. It is a transcript of the gene named microsomal glutathione S-transferase 2, with no coding region annotated. The record is from RefSeq and is a predicted model, not a curated record. NCBI's taxonomy places the organism in Eukaryota, Metazoa, Chordata, Mammalia, Artiodactyla, Suidae.